AAGCUUUCUCUCAUCCGUACUUUCGGUCGACGUCCUGACACAUGCGUCUCUCUCCUGUCUCUCCCAUCUUAAUAUUUUGGGUUUUCUAAACCUCCAUCCCUCUCUCUCCUCCUCUGUGUUAAUCGCUUAUCCUGCAUCUCUGCUCUCGCCGGUCUCUCGGUGCUCAAAACCCUAAUGCUAUUUCUUAGUUUGAAUAUCUGCAACUCAAUGUUUGGGACCUUUUAUAAACUCUUCUGCUUUGCUUCAUGGCUUCAAAUCUCACCUUGGUGGUGAUGGAGAACUGUAUAAACCGCUCUCAUGAUCUGUUUAUCAAGUAUUGGGGGAAGCGUUUUAGGUUUGAGUGAUGUCGGGGAGGAGUACUAUUUUUAUCAGGUGUAGAGAGAGACUGGUUCGUGAGAUUUUUCUCUUGCAUAUUUUCAUUCUACUGAAGAAAGCUUAGUGGUGUGGGAGCUUUCUUCUAUGGGUUCCUCAAGGGCAUUGGUGGUAUUCACUCAACAAGAAGCCCCCAUGGAAUCUGGUUUUCAAGGAGAGAGCCAGCCAUUUUCAGGUGAUGGCUUUGUUUAUGACCAGCAGCAACUAAGGGCCUUUUUCUCUGUCUUGACCAUGAUGUAUCUUCUUUUUGGGUGCUUGAUUCUAGGGUUACAGGGUUGGUGUUUUUCAAGUGGUCAGUUAGAGAAGUGUUUUCUUGUUUGUGGUCUUCUUUUCUGAAAUUAAAGAUCGAAGAGUAAUUUUUCGACUGGUUUUGAGGCUCAAUUUUUUUUUUACAACAAGUUCUUAUCUACUGUUUUUUUUUAUUGUAAUACUUCUGCCAAUUUUUCAGGUCAAUAUUUGGGCCUUGCACAGCAUACAGAGAAUUAAAAAGCCAUUGCCACCAAAGAAUGGAAGAAUCAAAUCAUAAACACUAGUUGAAACUUAAAAGGCCAUAUGUAAUGUUUCAUUUCCAUCCUAGAGCCUGCCUUAUACCAGUGUAAAUGAGUCUCAAGGACCUCCCAAUCAAGCAAUCCAGAAAGAAAUACACAUCACUGCUCACUUUAGCUGCUAGUGCUCUACGCAAUGGCAUCGCAAUGUCAUAGAACUCUAGAAACAGGUUGAAAGUACCUCCACCCUGUCAAGGAUCUUAAUUUGGUUCUCCUCUUCAUGGGCAAAGACAUGUCCCUGAUCACAAUAUAAUAAGUUGUUACCAUUGGCUUGCCCAAUAUAAGCUUUCUCCACCAAUUGAUUUUAUCUGAGGAGCUCUUAAUUGGCUUCUUGAUAAUCUGGAUUUGCAAUGAGCACAAAUUUGCUCGGCACCAAUACUUUUUUCAGUUGUAUUGGCUCUAUGCUAAGCUAAGUGUUUUUUUUUUUUUGGGGAAUUUUUUGGUUAUGGGUUUGAUGAGCUUGUCAAAAAAUGCAAAUGAGAUUUUCCUCUCCUAGAACUGAGUGAGAUAAAAUAUGAGUUUUGGGUAUGUACUAUGUCAUCAUAAUGUCAUAUUUCAAAUAGCAGAUAGAACCUUGCUCACACGAUAAUACUCAAUUGUUGGUUUUCUCCUGGCUUCUAUAUAACCCCUAAUAUUUGCUGGUUUUCUCCUUGAACGACAAUAAGAACCUAUGAGAAGUAUACAUGCACCAGUGGAAUCACAGGUAAAAAGGAGCAAUAAUGAUGGUUCCAAGGAGGUAAGUGAUAUAAUACUUGCAGUGAGGAAGAUGAAAAUGGAAGGUUGGGAAGCCCGAAUGCAAAUGAAGGAAAUAUUGGUUGUUAACCAUUUGAGGGUAUGGAAUUUUCAUCUGAGGAAGAAGAAAAAUUAUUCUAUAAUGAAUAUGCGAGGCGAAUGGGGUUUAGCAUGUGCAUGAGAAGUACGAAAAUAAUACAAUGUGAAGGGGUCAUGAGCUCUCGUAGAUUUCUAUGUUCCAGAGAAGGAUUUCGUACAAGGAAAGUUGAUAGUGGAAAACUUACUCGAAAGGUACCAGACACAAGAAUUGGUUAUAAAACAAUGAUAAAAAUAUGUAAGAAAGAUAUUGACAAGUGGGUUGUUACACGUUUUGAGAGAGACCACAAUCAUGUAUUUGUGAGCCCAAGUAAGGUGCGUUGUCUCUGAUCGCAUCAGACUAUUUCUGAAUGUGAGAGAAGUAUCAUCAAUACCUUUCAUAAAGCUGAGAUUUUUACUAAUAAUAUUAUGAAUGUCUUUAGAGUAGAAUCUGGUGGAGACUGUAAUUUAGGCUUAAUGGACCGUGAUUUUAGAAGUGAGCUUAGAAAGCUUAGAAAAAAAA
This is a non-coding RNA of Amborella trichopoda, 2247 nucleotides long. The record is from RefSeq and is a predicted model, not a curated record. Lineage: Eukaryota; Viridiplantae; Streptophyta; Magnoliopsida; Amborellales; Amborellaceae.